This 468-nucleotide ribosomal RNA is filed under the name uncultured bacterium. RNAcentral's name for it is "partial 16S ribosomal RNA". It matches the Rfam family "Bacterial small subunit ribosomal RNA", at positions 28 to 507 of the family's 1533-position model. The record is from RNAcentral.
GACGAACGCUGGCGGCGGGCCUAACACAUGCAAGUCGAACGGAAAGGCCCUGCUUUUGUGGGGUGCUCGAGUGGCGAACGGGUGCGUAACACGUGAGUAACCUGCUCUUCACUUUGAGAUAAGUUCAGGUAACUGGGGCUACUAUAGGAUAGCAGCUCCUGCUGCAUGGUGGGGGGUGGAAAGUUUCGGCGGUUGUGGAUGGACGCGCGGCUUAUCAGCUAGUUAGUGGGGUAGUGGCUUACCAAGGCUUUGACCGGUAGCCGGCCUGAGAGGGUGACCGGGCACAUUAGUACUGAGGGACGGACCAGACUCCAACGGUAGGCAGCAGGGGGGAAUAUGGCACAGUGGGCGGGAGCCUGAUGCGGCGGCGCCGGGUGCGGGAUGACGGCCUUCGGGUUGAGAACCGCAUUCGCCUGAGACGAAGCGGGAGUGACGGUAAUGAGUAAAGAAGCACCGGCUAACUACGUG